RNAcentral lists this ribosomal RNA (710 nucleotides) under uncultured anaerobic ammonium-oxidizing bacterium. Its description in RNAcentral is "bacterial SSU rRNA". It matches the Rfam family "Bacterial small subunit ribosomal RNA", at positions 358 to 1051 of the family's 1533-position model. The record is from RNAcentral.
AGAAUCUUUCGCAAUGCCCGAAAGGGUGACGAAGCGACGCCGCGUGUGGGAAGAAGGCCUUCGGGUUGUAAACCACUGUCGGGAGUUAAGAAAUGCAAGGGUGUUAAUAGCGCCCUUGCUUGACUAAGGCUCCGGAGGAAGCUACGGCUAACUCUGUGCCAGCAGCCGCGGUAAUACAGAGGUGGCAAGCAUUGUUCGGAAUUAUUGGGCGUAAAGAGCACGUAGGCGGCCUUGAAAGUCAGUUGUGAAAUCCUUCCGCUUAACGGAAGAACUGCAUCUGAUACUCCAGGGCUCGAGUGCGGGAGGGGAGAGUGGAACUUCUGGUGGAGCGGUGAAAUGCGUAGAUAUCAGAAGGAACGCCGGCGGCGAAAGCGGCUCUCUGGUCCGUAACUGACGCUGAGUGUGCGAAAGCUAGGGGAUCAAACGGGAUUAGAUACCCCGGUAGUCCUAGCCGUAAACGAUGGGCACUAAGUAGAGGGGUUUUGAUUAUCUCUCUGCCGGAGCUAACGCAUUAAGUGCCCCGCCUGGGAAGUACGGCCGCAAGGCUAAAACUCAAAAGAAUUGGCGGGGGCUCGCACAAGCGGUGGAGCAUGUGGCUUAAUUCGAUGCAACGCGAAGAACCUUACCGGGGUUUGACAUGGUAGAAGUAGGAACCAGAAAUGGUAACGAACGGUUUCCAGUCCGUNACUAUCACAGGUGUUGCAUGGCUG